AUGCCAGGCCGCCGGCCCUCCUCCCUCAAGCUCAAGGCGGCGAAGAGAUGGUUGAGAUGGUGUUGCAGCUCCGCAGAAUGCAGACAAUUAAAUGAUUCUGCCCGUGCUAUCAAAGUGGCCUCUCGGACUGAAGAAGGUGCCACUGCUGAAAAUAUUGUUCAGCCUGCAUCCGUGCUAAAUGUUGGAGAGGAAACUGAAAGUGCAUCUGCUGAGGAUCCAAAGAACAUGCUUCCUGACCCCUCUAAGACCAAAAGGCAAUGCCGCCAAGGGAGUUGGCGCACCAAAGAAAGCGAGGCAGUAGUUCUUCCAUGGAGCACUUCUUCCAUGCCGUUAUCUAGAUAUGUACAUACGGUUCGACUAAGGUAUCUUCUAUAUUCUGCUUGCUUAUCAAGCGAAGUCUACGCUGGAAGGGUAUCAUGCUGA
RNAcentral lists this ribosomal RNA (423 nucleotides) under Triticum aestivum (bread wheat). Its description in RNAcentral is "partial small subunit ribosomal RNA". The record is from RNAcentral. Lineage: Eukaryota; Viridiplantae; Streptophyta; Magnoliopsida; Poales; Poaceae.